UGCGUAGGUGGUGAGGUAAGUCGGAUGUGAAAGCUCGGAGCUCAACUCCGAAAUGGCAUUGGAAACUACCUUGCUAGAGGGUUGGAGGGGGGACUGGAAUACUUGGUGUAGCAGUGAAAUGCGUAGAUAUCAAGUGGAACACCAGUGGCGAAGGCGAGUCCCUGGACAACUCCUGACACUGAGGCACGAAAGCUAGGGAGCAAACA
Molecule: ribosomal RNA, 206 nt
Filed under: uncultured bacterium
Lineage: Bacteria
Description: partial 16S ribosomal RNA
Rfam family: Bacterial small subunit ribosomal RNA
Source: RNAcentral